AUGCUCACGGCGGCCGCGCCAUCUUCGGCGGCCCCUCCGACUAUGACCAUCACGCUCGCUGCGGCCUCCCUUGCCGCUCGCAAGGCUGAUCCGGCCGUUCAGGGAUGCUUUGCCGCCUCGCACAAGCUCCUGUGCAUGUCAUCGGUGCCGGCCAGUCUGUCUCCUCUGCCAACCGUCCCCGUCCUCCUUGUUGGCGCCUCUUCUGGCUGGCCGACGGCGCCCUCCGGCCUCCUCUGCUCGUCGCCAAGCUCCCAACCGCCCCGGCCUGAUAUGGAUCUGGGGCCUGUGUCCCCGCCGCCGGAGCAACAUUUGUGUUCUGAGGACGUCGUCGUGGAGGUGCCGAAGACCAUUGACGGGCCGCCGGCACAGCUGCCCUGCCUGGGCGGCGGCCGGCCACCUGCUGCCCUGUUGAGCUCCAGCCCCCUGGUCUCUGGUGCAGACGCAGAUGCAGACUUCCUCGUCGGCCCGGAUGCGGCAUGCAUGGGGCUCGUGGAGGACACUGCAGGCUGGGAGCUUGUCCAGUCCUGCCGUGCACGACUGGCACCUCGGCCACCUUCGGCUUUCAUGCCUCAUCAUCGCCCCCGGCCACCCGCGUGGCUCUGGAAUAGAUGUUUUCGUUGCUUCGGAAAAGGUCAUCGAGCGGCCGAGUGCAGGGAUCCAAUCCGGUGCAACCAAUGCUUUCGCUCGGGAUACCGUGCACGGGAUGGCUGCAAGCCGGUGCAGCCACAGCCUUAUGCAAGUUCUGUUCGGCCGUUGGCUCAUUCUUGGGCUUCGAUUGUUGCGCCUUCAUCAACAUCUGAGAAACAUGAGGCCACGUCCAACAUGAAGACUUCUUCUGUCCCGAUAGAUGUGACGCUCCAGUCUGCUCUAGGGGUGCACUCGAAGUUGCUAGGAUCUGAUCUUCAUUGCAUGACUUCCUCAUAG
RNAcentral lists this ribosomal RNA (924 nucleotides) under Triticum aestivum (bread wheat). RNAcentral describes it as "partial small subunit ribosomal RNA". The record is from RNAcentral. Lineage: Eukaryota; Viridiplantae; Streptophyta; Magnoliopsida; Poales; Poaceae.